GGCCGCCUGGCGAAAUGGUAUCGCGUCUGACUACGACUAUCAGGAGAUUGCAGGUUCGAGCCCUGCGGUGGUCA
This 74-nucleotide transfer RNA is filed under the name Rhizoctonia solani AG-1 IB. Its description in RNAcentral is "tRNA-Arg". It matches the Rfam family "tRNA". From Rfam's summary of the family: Transfer RNA (tRNA) molecules are approximately 80 nucleotides in length. Their secondary structure includes four short double-helical elements and three loops (D, anti-codon, and T loops). The record is from RNAcentral. Lineage: Eukaryota; Fungi; Basidiomycota; Agaricomycetes; Cantharellales; Ceratobasidiaceae.